GAUGAAGAACGUAGCGAAAUGCGAUACGUAAUGUGAAUUGCAGAAUUCAGUGAAUCAUCGAAUCUUUGAACGCAUAUUGCGCUCUUUGGUAUUCCGAAGAGCAUGCUUGUUUGAGUAUCAGUAAACACCUCAAAGCUUUUGGAUUUUUUAAUCGAAAAGCUUUGGACUUGAGCAAUCCCAACACCAAUCUUUUUGAGAUCGGUGGCGGGUUGCUUGAAAUGCAGGUGCAGCUGGACAUUCUCCUGAGCUAAAAGCAUAUUCAUUUAGUCCCGUCAAACGGAUUAUUACUUUUGCUGCAGCUAACAUAAAGGGAGUUUGACCGUAUUGGCUGACUGAUGCAGGAUUUCACAAGGGUCGGCAACGAUUCUUGUUAAACUCGAUCUCAAAUCAAGUAAGACUACCCGCUGAACUUAAGCAUACCAAUAAGCGGAGGA
This 434-nucleotide unclassified non-coding RNA is filed under the name soil metagenome. RNAcentral describes it as "partial contains 5.8S ribosomal RNA, internal transcribed spacer 2, and large subunit ribosomal RNA". The stretch from base 1 to 120 matches the Rfam family "5.8S ribosomal RNA", at positions 35 to 154 of the family's 154-position model. The record is from RNAcentral.